AUUAGAUUGGGGCAAAAGUAAUUGCGGUUCUUGCAAUUAAAAGUAAUGGGAAAAACUGCAAUUACUUUUGCGCCAACCUAAU
Molecule: microRNA precursor, 82 nt
Filed under: Pan paniscus (pygmy chimpanzee)
Lineage: Eukaryota; Metazoa; Chordata; Mammalia; Primates; Hominidae
Description: miRNA (ENSPPAG00000008790.1)
Source: RNAcentral